GACGAACGCUGGCGGCGUGCUUAACACAUGCAAGUCGAACGAAGUGGCGAACGGGUGAGUAACGCGUAAUCAACCUGCCCUUCAGAGGGGGACAACAGUUGGAAACGACUGCUAAUACCGCAUACUGAAGGACGGGCUUGCGUCUGAUUAGCUAGUUGGAGGGGGAACGGCCCACCAAGGCGAUGAUCAGUCGCCGGGCUGAGAGGAUGAACGGCCAAAUUGGGACGGAGACACGGCCCAGAUGCCUACGGGAGGCAGCAGGGGGGAAUCUUCCGCAAUGGACGAAAGUCUGACGGAGCAACGCCGCGUGAGUGAUGACGGCCUUCGGGUUGUAAAGCUCUGUUAAGCGGGACGCGGUACCGGAAUAGAAAGCCACGGCUAACUACGUGCCAGCAGCCGCGGUAAUAC
Molecule: ribosomal RNA, 408 nt
Filed under: uncultured bacterium
Lineage: Bacteria
Description: partial 16S ribosomal RNA
Rfam family: Bacterial small subunit ribosomal RNA
Source: RNAcentral